GGUGGCAUGGCCAAGUGGUAAGGCGCUGGUUUGCAAAACCUUGACCCCCAGUUCGAAUCUGGGUGCCACCUCCA
RNAcentral lists this transfer RNA (74 nucleotides) under Pseudomonadota bacterium. Its description in RNAcentral is "tRNA-Cys". It matches the Rfam family "tRNA". From Rfam's summary of the family: Transfer RNA (tRNA) molecules are approximately 80 nucleotides in length. Lineage: Bacteria; Pseudomonadati; Pseudomonadota. The record is from RNAcentral. RNAcentral also lists the same sequence under 3 other names.